RNAcentral lists this ribosomal RNA (512 nucleotides) under Sarocladium strictum. RNAcentral describes it as "eukaryotic LSU rRNA". The stretch from base 133 to 286 matches the Rfam family "5.8S ribosomal RNA". Lineage: Eukaryota; Fungi; Ascomycota; Sordariomycetes; Hypocreales; Sarocladiaceae. The record is from RNAcentral.
CUUACCAAACGUUCCCUCGGCGGGCUCAGCGCGCGGUGGCCUCCGGGCCUCCGGGCGUCCGCCGGGGAAAACCAAACCCUGAUUUAAUCGUAUUUCUCUGAGGGGCGAAAGCCCGAAAACAAAAUGAAUCAAAACUUUCAACAACGGAUCUCUUGGCUCUGGCAUCGAUGAAGAACGCAGCGAAAUGCGAUAAGUAAUGUGAAUUGCAGAAUUCAGUGAAUCAUCGAAUCUUUGAACGCACAUUGCGCCCGCCGGCACUCCGGCGGGCAUGCCUGUCCGAGCGUCAUUUCAACCCUCAGGCCCACCCUUCCGGGGGAGCGGGCCUGGUUCUGGGGAUCGGCGGCCCUCGCGGCCCCCGUCCCUCAAAUUCAGUGGCGGUCGCGCCGCAGCCUCCCCUGCGUAGUAGCACAACCUCGCACCGGAGAGCGGAACGACCACGCCGUAAAACACCCAAUUUUUUAAGGUUGACCUCGGAUCAGGUAGGAAUACCCGCUGAACUUAAGCAUAUCAAU